GUGUCCCUUACAGGCUCCAGAUUAUGUUGGAUGGGAUUAUCCCUAGUUGUAAAUCCACAUGCAGUUAGAGGAGUCCAGUUCUAGCCCUGAUACGAUAGGGAAUUUAAUCAGUCAUCUAGUGGAAUGUGGACGGGGUUACUUGACUCGGUGCAUUAAAAUGACAAGAAUAUGAUUAUAAAAAUACGAAUAUGAUUAUAUGUUAUGAAUAUGACAAGAAUUAUGAUAGUAUACAAUUAGUGAUACUAGUGUUCCCCAUAUCACUACGAUACAUGACGAAAUAGUAAACCUAGAUUAUGUUUAU
RNAcentral lists this long non-coding RNA (301 nucleotides) under Medicago truncatula (barrel medic). RNAcentral's name for it is "lncRNA gene16054". The record is from RNAcentral. Lineage: Eukaryota; Viridiplantae; Streptophyta; Magnoliopsida; Fabales; Fabaceae.